UACGGAGGGUGCAAGCGUUACUCGGAAUCACUGGGCGUAAAGCGCGCGCAGGCGGGCUGAUAAGUUGGAUGUGAAAGCCUACGGCUUAACCGUAGAACUGCAUCCAAAACUGUCAGUCUAGAGUCUGGGAGGGGAAGAUGGAAUUAGUGGUGUAGGGGUAAAAUCCGUAGAGAUCACUAGGAACACCAAAAGCGAAGGCGAUCUUCUGGAACAGUACUGACGCUGAGGCGCGAAAGCGUGGGGAGCAAACAGGAUUAGAUACCCUGGUAGUCCACGCCCUAAACGAUGAAUGUUAGUCGUCGGGUAGCUAGUCUAUUCGGUGAUGCAGCUAACGCAUUAAACAUUCCGCCUGGGGAGUACGGUCGCAAGAUUAAAACUCAAAGGAAUAGACGGGGACCCGCACAAGUGGUGGAGCAUGUGGUUUAAUUCGAAGAUACGCGAAGAACCUUACCUGGCCUUGACAUUGAUAGAAUUCUGUAGAGAUACGGAAGUGCCCUUCGGGGAGCUUGAAAACAGGUGCUGCACGGCUGUCGUCAGCUCGUGUCGUGAGAUGUUGGGUUAAGUCCCGCAACGAGCGCAACCCUCGUCACUAGUUACUAACGGUUCGGCCGAGGACUCUAGUGAGACUGCCUUCGCAAGGAGGAGGAAGGUGAGGACGACGUCAAGUCAUCAUGGCCCUUACGGCCAGGGCGACACACGUGCUACAAUGGGUAGGACAAUGAGACGCGAUACCGCGAGGUGGAGCAAAUCUAUAAACCUACUCUCAGUUCGGAUUGUACUCUGCAACUCGAGUGCAUGAAGCUGGAAUCACUAGUAAUCGUAGAUCAGCCAUGCUACGGUGAAUACGUUCCCGGGUCU
This 858-nucleotide ribosomal RNA is filed under the name uncultured bacterium. Its description in RNAcentral is "SSU rRNA". It matches the Rfam family "Bacterial small subunit ribosomal RNA", at positions 524 to 1381 of the family's 1533-position model. The record is from RNAcentral.